Molecule: non-coding RNA, 72 nt
Organism: Euleptes europaea (tarantolino)
Lineage: Eukaryota; Metazoa; Chordata; Lepidosauria; Squamata; Sphaerodactylidae
Source: the annotation of a RefSeq genome assembly
GGAGCUGUGGCUCAGUGGUAGAGUAUCUACUUUGAAUGCAGAAGGUCCCAGGUUCAAUCCCUGGUAUCUCCA